UACAGAGACCUCAAGCGUUAUCCGGAAUCAUUGGGCGUAAAGCGUACCGAUAGGUGGUUUUACAAGUCAGGGGUGAAAUCUCAAGGCUCAACUUUGAGACUGUCUCUUGAAACUGUAAAACUAGAGGGGUAAAGAGGAAGCUGGAACGAACGGUGUAGUAGUGAAAUGCGUUGAUAUCGUUCGGAACACCGAUAGCGAAGGGAGGCUUCUGGGUACCACCUGACACUGCUAGGACGAAAGCGUGGGGAGCGAAUGGG
RNAcentral lists this ribosomal RNA (257 nucleotides) under uncultured bacterium. RNAcentral's name for it is "partial 16S ribosomal RNA". It matches the Rfam family "Bacterial small subunit ribosomal RNA", at positions 524 to 776 of the family's 1533-position model. The record is from RNAcentral.